This 578-nucleotide ribosomal RNA is filed under the name uncultured bacterium. RNAcentral's name for it is "bacterial SSU rRNA". It matches the Rfam family "Bacterial small subunit ribosomal RNA", at positions 340 to 918 of the family's 1533-position model. The record is from RNAcentral.
UACGGGAGGCAGCAGUGAGGAAUAUUGGUCAAUGGGCGAGAGCCUGAACCAGCCAAGUAGCGUGAAGGAUGACUGCCCUAUGGGUUGUAAACUUCUUUUAUAAAGGAAUAAAGUCGGGUAUGGAUACCCGUUUGCAUGUACUUUAUGAAUAAGGAUCGGCUAACUCCGUGCCAGCAGCCGCGGUAAUACGGAGGAUCCGAGCGUUAUCCGGAUUUAUUGGGUUUAAAGGGAGCGUAGAUGGAUGUUUAAGUCAGUUGUGAAAGUUUGCGGCUCAACCGUAAAAUUGCAGUUGAUACUGGAUAUCUUGAGUGCAGUUGAGGCAGGCGGAAUUCGUGGUGUAGCGGUGAAAUGCUUAGAUAUCACGAAGAACUCCGAUUGCGAAGGCAGCCUGCUAAGCUGCAACUGACAUUGAGGCUCGAAAGUGUGGGUAUCAAACAGGAUUAGAUACCCUGGUAGUCCACACGGUAAACGAUGAAUACUCGCUGUUUGCGAUAUACUGCAAGCGGCCAAGCGAAAGCGUUAAGUAUUCCACCUGGGGAGUACGCCGGCAACGGUGAAACUCAAAGGAAUUGACGGGG